UAUUAAAAAAUUUAUCUAUUUUUAUUGAUAAAAAUAAUUAAACAGUUACAUGUGAUGUGCCAUGUGCAUUUUAUUCUGAUGUAUAAGAACUAACUUUUAGUAGUAGAAAUAGAUGGAAUUUUUAACA
This 127-nucleotide microRNA precursor is filed under the name Gossypium arboreum. Its description in RNAcentral is "MIR7502 microRNA precursor family". It matches the Rfam family "MIR7502 microRNA precursor family". The record is from Rfam by way of RNAcentral. Lineage: Eukaryota; Viridiplantae; Streptophyta; Magnoliopsida; Malvales; Malvaceae.